AACGAACGCUGGCGGCAGGCUUAACACAUGCAAGUCGAGCGCCCCGCAAGGGGAGCGGCAGACGGGUGAGUAACGCGUGGGAAUCUACCGUGCCCUACGGAAUAGCUCCGGGAAACUGGAAUUAAUACCGUAUACGCCCUACGGGGGAAAGAUUUAUCGGGGUAUGAUGAGCCCGCGUGGAUUAGCUAGUUGGUGGGGUAAAGGCCUACCAAGGCGACGAUCCAUAGCUGGUCUGAGAGGAUGAUCAGCCACAUUUGGACUGAGACACGGCCCAAACUCCGACGGGAGGCAGCAGUGGGGAAUAUUGGACAAUGGGCGCAAGCCUGAUCCAGCCAUGCCGCGUGAGUGAUGAAGGUCUUAGGAUUGUAAAGCUCUUUCACCGGUGAAGAUAAUGACGGUAACCGGAGAAGAAGCCCCGGCUAACUUCGUGCCAGCAGCCGCCGUAA
This 446-nucleotide ribosomal RNA is filed under the name uncultured bacterium. RNAcentral's name for it is "partial 16S ribosomal RNA". It matches the Rfam family "Bacterial small subunit ribosomal RNA", at positions 29 to 523 of the family's 1533-position model. The record is from RNAcentral.